UGAGGAAUAUUGCGCAAUGGAGGAAACUCUGACGCAGCCAUACCGCGUGCAGGAUGACAGUCCUAUGGAUUGUAAACUGCUUUUAUAUGGGAAGAAACCCUAGGACGUGUCCUGGGCUGACGGUACCAUAAGAAUAAGGACCGGCUAACUCCGUGCCAGCAGCCGCGGUAAUACGGAGGGUCCAAGCGUUAUCCGGAUUUAUUGGGUUUAAAGGGUCCGCAGGCGGGAUGCUAAGUCAGUGGUGAAAUCCUACAGCUCAACUGUAGAACUGCCAUUGAUACUGGUAUUCUUGAGUGUAGUUGAAGUAAGUGGAACGUGUUAAGUAGCGGUGAAAUGCAUAGAUAUAACACAGAACACCAAAAGCGAAGGCAGCUUACUAAGCUAUUACUGACGCUCAUGGACGAAAGCGUGGGGAGCAAACAGG
RNAcentral lists this ribosomal RNA (424 nucleotides) under uncultured bacterium. RNAcentral's name for it is "bacterial SSU rRNA". It matches the Rfam family "Bacterial small subunit ribosomal RNA", at positions 355 to 776 of the family's 1533-position model. The record is from RNAcentral.